GACGAACGCUGGCGGCGUGCUUAACACAUGCAAGUCGAACGGAAAGGCCCGGCUUUUGUGGGGUUCUCGAGUGGCGAGCGGGUGAGUAACACGUGAGUAACCUGCCCUUGACUUUGGGGUAACUUCACGAGACUGGGGCUCAUACCGGGUAUGAGCUCCUGCUGCAUGGUGGGCGUUGGAAAGUUUCGGCGGUUGGGGAUGGUCUCGCGGCUUAUGAGCUUGUUGGUGUGGUAGUGGCUGACCAAGGGUUUGACGGGUAGCCGGCCUGAGAGGGUGACCGGCCACAUGGGGACUGAGAUACGGACCAGACUGGUACGUGAGGCAGCAGGGGGGAGUAUUGCACAAUGGGCGGGAGCCUGAUGCAGCAACGUUGCGUGCGGGAUGACCUCCUUCGGGUUGAAAACCGCUGUCGCCGGUGACGAAGCGUGAGUGACGGUAAUGGGUAAAGAAGCACCGGCUAACUACGUG
This 468-nucleotide ribosomal RNA is filed under the name uncultured bacterium. Its description in RNAcentral is "partial 16S ribosomal RNA". It matches the Rfam family "Bacterial small subunit ribosomal RNA", at positions 28 to 507 of the family's 1533-position model. The record is from RNAcentral.